Molecule: small nuclear RNA, 107 nt
Organism: Cynocephalus volans (Philippine flying lemur)
Lineage: Eukaryota; Metazoa; Chordata; Mammalia; Dermoptera; Cynocephalidae
Source: RefSeq, a predicted model, not a curated record
GUGCUCCCUUUGGCAGCACAUAUACUAAAAUUGGAACGAUACAAAGAAGAUAAGCAUGACCCCUGUGCAAGGACGACGCACAAAUUUGUGAAGCGUUCCAUUAAAAA